RNAcentral lists this ribosomal RNA (253 nucleotides) under uncultured bacterium. RNAcentral describes it as "partial 16S ribosomal RNA". It matches the Rfam family "Bacterial small subunit ribosomal RNA", at positions 524 to 776 of the family's 1533-position model. The record is from RNAcentral.
GACGUAGGGCGCGAGCGUUGUCCGGAUUUAUUGGGCGUAAAGAGCUCGUAGGCGGCUUGUCGCGUCGACUGUGAAAUCCCGCGGCUCAACUGCGGGUCUGCAGUCGAUACGGGCAGGCUAGAGUUCGGUAGGGGAGACUGGAAUUCCUGGUGUAGCGGUGAAAUGCGCAGAUAUCGGGAGGAACACCGGUGGCGAAGGCGGUUCUCUGGGCCUGUACUGACGCUGAGGAGCGAAAGCGUGGGGAGCGAACAGG